GAUGGACGCUGGCGGCGUGCCUAAUACAUGCAAGUCGAGCGAACAGACGAGGAGCUUGCUCCUCUGACGUUAGCGGCGGACGGGUGAGUAACACGUGGAUGACCUACCUAUAAGACUGGGAUAACUUCGGGAAACCGGAGCUAAUACCGGAUAAUAUAUUGAACCGCAUGGUUCAAUAGUGAAAGACGGUUUUGCUGUCACUUAUAGAUGGAUCCGCGCCGCAUUAGCUAGUUGGUAAGGUAACGGCUUACCAAGGCAACGAUGCGUAGCCGACCUGAGAGGGUGAUCGGCCACACUGGAACUGAGACACGGUCCAGACGCCUACGGGAGGCAGAAGUAGGGAAUCUUCCGCAAUGGGCGAAAGCCUGACGGAGCAACGCCGCGUGAGUGAUGAAGGUCUUCGGAUCGUAAAACGCUGUUAUUAGGGAAGAACAAAUGUGUAAGUAACUAUGCACGUCUUGACGGUACCUAAUCAGAAAGCCACGGCUAACUACGUG
Molecule: ribosomal RNA, 497 nt
Filed under: uncultured bacterium
Lineage: Bacteria
Description: partial 16S ribosomal RNA
Rfam family: Bacterial small subunit ribosomal RNA
Source: RNAcentral